GUGGGAGAGAAUUGAAGCGUAUGAAGGGUCCCCCACUCUCUUAGGGUCCAACCUAAAAAGGUUAUUAAUGCUCUUACAAUAUUUAUAUAUAAAAACAUUUGCUAACUUGUCUGCAAAACUGCAUGUUGCCAAGCCUUGGCGUGACAAUAUUCAAUUUGCAUCACUAGGGACCACUCCUUACAUCUUGCAGUUUAUUUUAUAUUCAUAGCUUUUUCAGAGUCUUCAUAUAUUCCAUCUCCAACUAAAAUAAAAAUUUCGUAAAAUCCCCUUUAAAUCUCCUCCUUUCCUCUUCUAUUUAUACUCCUUUAUCCUCUCUUCUCUAUAUCCCAUAACCACCAGAUGAAGGACUACUUCAAGUACUGAUACUGAAAUAGGCCUUUCUCAUUAAUCUAUGGGAUACACUCUGAACUAAGUGUAUUAUGCGUCUUAUCAUCGUGCACCACUAUCAGUUGAAGCUGCCAGCAUGAUCUUAGCUUCUCUUCCUCGUUGAGAAAAGAUCAGAUCAUGUGGCAGUUUCACCCGUUGUUGGUCGUACGAGAAACCCUAAUUCCACUCAUAACCCUUAUUUCCACUGUUAUACUUACAAGGGCUAUUAGGGUUUUCCUUGUUCAAUCCCUAGAAAAGGACUGUCAGUGACAGGAUUUUUGCGUCUCGGUGCAGUUUAAUGAUUUCAAGAUCUCCCAUGAUGCUUCGGUGAUUGAGCCUUGACAUUCUUUUAAAUUGCCGUACAUAUUAAUUUUGUUAAUAAAUUGGGUAUGCAUCUUCUAUUUUCCUGGGUAGGAUUCUAGCAAAGAAUUUUCCUCCUGUUUACGAUCUUCCAAUCUUAUAUCUUUUAGUUUAGGGUUUUUAUAAUACUCUGUACGGUUUGGACCUAUAAAUUCUGCUCCAGGUUUCCAAAUAAUACUAGCGACUACUUGUAUCGAUAAUCAUACCUAUAAAUCCUGUUACAUGAUGCAUCUGACAACUUAUCAUUUUUCAGUUGAGUUGGACUAAAGCCUAGGGUUCUGUGUGUGUGUGUGUGUGUUUGUGUGUGUGAGAGAGAGAGAGAGAGAGAGGUGAAGGCUAUAAGAGAAGGGAUGAGAUUUACAUGUGGGUUUAUGGUUCACAGUGAAUUAAAUUAGCCCUAAAAUUUCAUGAGAUAAGGGAAGUAAACGAAUGAAGUAUAAUUCCAAAAAUCUUUUGCACCCCUUAAAAUUAUGAUCUAACAUCACUUAAUUGAUCAACAAUAUUUCCAGCCAAUUCAACUCAUAAAUUGGGAAAUUAGAAAGCAGGUAGUUUCCUCCCCCUUAGGUUUUUGAGUCUUGCAUUUCAGGAUCUUAUGGGGAAGAUUCGUUCGGGCUCUAAUUAUAGUGAGCUGGAUCUUGCUUGCUCAAUGUCCAAGGUAUAUAUAUAUAUAAUCUUUAAAUUUCCUGAUAUAGUAAUUGAGAUGUAUAACCAGCUGUCAUAACUAAUAUGUCAAUUAGAAAAAAGCGAAAAAAAAAAAAAAACGUUUUCGAAAACAAUAAGGUGGAGGAACUCCAUGACAUAUGGAGAUGUUAAGUUACUAUGACAAUAGAACAGUAAGAUAUAAAAUAUAUAUUGUCCCAUUUUAGAAGUUUACUCCGUGAAGAAUCUAUCAGACAAGAAUCUCACUAUUCUUUGUGUCAUUUUUGCUUUUCCUGUUCACCUUCUUUUGUUUCUUCAGGUUUGAACUUUGAAGAAGAUGGCGAUGGUGAAACCAGUUAAAAAUGAGAAGGUAAAAACAUUUCAGUCUUUUUUUUUUUUUUUUGCUAAUGGUUAUUUUACUGUCACAAACUAAGAGAAAUGCUGACUUGGAGCCCUUGAGAUGAGCACAAUUGCUGCAUGUGAAUAAAAGGAAAGCUUUGUUCGGAACUUCCAGGGUGAAGUUAAAUAUUUGAAAUCUCUAUAAAUUUCUAUUUUCAUAAUAACUAUAAUCCUAAUUCUCUUAAGAUUUUAGACCUCACAUCUUACUAUAAAACAACUUGCUUAAGUCUCCUUUGUUUGAUGAACUUUGCCAUAAGAUGCCCAAAUGUGCUGCUUCUUCACCGAGAACUUGGCACAUACCCUGCUGUGAAGAAGGUUUUGGAAAAUCAGUUGUAAAAAGGAAAUAAAUAGCCAUAAGAACCUGCAAGUCCUUACAUAUGUAACUCUGUUUUUCAUAAGAAACUUAAGAUUACAUAUUCUUCUUUAUGACAAGGACAUAUACAUAUAUGCACAUGGAUUGUAGAGUGUAGAGAGAAAAAUAUUACAUGAUUAUGCAAAUUUGAAGUCUGAUUUUCCAUCAAGCUUGGUUGUUGGGGUUUGGCCCCUCUCUUUUGGCAGGAAGCUCUGAAUGGAGAAGAUUCCAUAUAGCUUUCUUUUUUGCUUGGCACCCAAAUAAGCAAAAACGUCAUUUGUUUGAUUCUCCCAACUCUUUCCAGGGAUUGCAUUUGUCAGUUAUCAUCAAUGAAAGACGUGAUGUAGAGAAUCCAUUGACAAGGGCUUGUUACGUUCCAUUUAUGGGAGACCCAUUAUGCUUGACAAUGGCAAUGCAAUUAAUUGGUUUUCUGCAAGGAACCCGGGAAUCGCUCGCGUUCAAUUGUUGAAACUUGAAAGUGAGAUUUCAGUGAAAAAGUUAAAAAUUUGUGUGUAUUAGAGAGAAAGGACAAGGAGAUUAUAUGGUUUUGGAGAUAUAUUUUACAUAUUGCGGUGCACAAA
Long non-coding RNA from Manihot esculenta (cassava), 2697 nucleotides. RefSeq lists it as uncharacterized. The transcript has 2 exons. NCBI's taxonomy places the organism in Eukaryota, Viridiplantae, Streptophyta, Magnoliopsida, Malpighiales, Euphorbiaceae. The record is from RefSeq and is a predicted model, not a curated record.